Molecule: ribosomal RNA, 500 nt
Filed under: uncultured bacterium
Lineage: Bacteria
Description: partial 16S ribosomal RNA
Rfam family: Bacterial small subunit ribosomal RNA
Source: RNAcentral
AUUGAACGCUGGCGGCAUGCCUUACACAUGCAAGUCGAACGGCAGCGCGGGAGCAAUCCUGGCGGCGAGUGGCGAGCGGGUGAGUAAUAUAUCGGAACGUGCCCAGUAGUGGGGGAUAGCCCGGCGAAAGCCGGAUUAAUACCGCAUACGACCCGAGGGUGAAAGGGGGGGAUCGCAAGACCUCUCGCUAUUGGAGCGGCCGAUAUCAGAUUAGGUAGUUGGUGGGGUAAAGGCCUACCAAGCCUGCGAUCUGUAGUUGGUCUGAGAGGACGACCAGCCACACUGGGACUGAGACACGGCCCAGACUCCUACGGGAGGCAGCAGUGGGGAAUUUUGGACAAUGGGCGCAAGCCUGAUCCAGCAAUGCCGCGUGCAGGAAGAAGGCCUUCGGGUUGUAAACUGCUUUUGUCAGGGAAGAAAUCCCCUAGGCUAAUACCUUGGGGGGAUGACGGUACCUGAAGAAUAAGCACCGGCUAACUACGUGCCAGCAGCCGCCGUAA